Molecule: ribosomal RNA, 468 nt
Filed under: uncultured bacterium
Lineage: Bacteria
Description: partial 16S ribosomal RNA
Rfam family: Bacterial small subunit ribosomal RNA
Source: RNAcentral
GACGAACGCUGGCGGCGUGCUUAACACGUGCAAGUCGAACGGAAAGGCCCUGCUUUUGUGGGGUGCUCGAGUGGCGAACGGGUGAGUAACACGUGAGUAACCUGCCCUUGACUUUGGGAUAACUUCAGGAAACUGGGGCUAAUACCGCAUAGGAGCACCUGCUGCAUGGUGGGGGUGGGAAAUUUUCGGUGGUUGGGGUUGGACUCUCGGCUUAUCAGCUUGUGGGUGGGGUAGUGGCUUACAAAGCCUUUGCCGGGUAGCCGACCUGGGAGGGUGACCGGUCACAUUGGGACGGAGGUACGGCCGAGCCUACUACUGGAGGCAGCAGUGGGGAAUAUUGCACAAUGGGCGGAAGCCUGAUGCAGCAAGGCCGCGUGCGGGAUGAAGGCCAUCGUGUUGUAAACCGCGUCCGCCUGUGACGAAGCGUGAGUGACGGUAAUGGGUAAAGAAGCACCGGCUAACUACGUG